Molecule: ribosomal RNA, 253 nt
Filed under: uncultured bacterium
Lineage: Bacteria
Description: partial 16S ribosomal RNA
Rfam family: Bacterial small subunit ribosomal RNA
Source: RNAcentral
UACGUAGGGGCCAAGCGUUGUCCGGAUUUAUUGGGCGUAAAGAGCUCGUAGGUGGUUUGUCGCGUUGUCCGUGAAAACUCACAGCUUAACUGUGGGCGUGCGGGCGAUACGGGCAGACUGGAGUACUGCAGGGGAGACUGGAAUUCCUGGUGUAGCGGUGGAAUGCGCAGAUAUCAGGAGGAACACCGGUGGCGAAGGCGGGUCUCUGGGCAGUAACUGACGCUGAGGAGCGAAAGCGUGGGGAGCGAACAGG